RNAcentral lists this ribosomal RNA (1351 nucleotides) under uncultured bacterium. Its description in RNAcentral is "bacterial SSU rRNA". It matches the Rfam family "Bacterial small subunit ribosomal RNA", at positions 28 to 1394 of the family's 1533-position model. The record is from RNAcentral.
GACGAACGCUGGCGGCGUGCUUAACACAUGCAAGUCGAGCGGAAAGGCCCUUCGGGGUACUCGAGCGGCGAACGGGUGAGUAACACGUGAGUAACCUACCUCGAACUCUGGGAUAAGCCUGGGAAACUGGGUCUAAUACCGGAUGUUCAUCUCCUGCUGCAUGGUGGGGGAUGGAAAGUGUUUAGCGGUUCGGGAUGGGCUCGCGGCCUAUCAGCUUGUUGGUGAGGUAAUGGCUUACCAAGGCUUUUACGGGUAGCCGGCCUGAGAGGGCGACCGGCCACACUGGGACUGAGAUACGGCCCAGACUCCCACGGGAGGCAGCAGUGGGGAAUAUUGCGCAAUGGGCGGAAGCCUGACGCAGCAACGCCGUGUGAGGGAUGACGGCCUUCGGGUUGUAAACCUCUUUCACCAGGGACGAAGCUUUUGUGACGGUACCUGGGGAAGAAGCGCCGGCCAACUACGUGCCAGCAGCCGCGGUAACACGUAGGGCGCGAGCGUUGUCCGGAAUUAUUGGGCGUAAAGGGCUCGUAGGCGGUUUGUCGCGUCGAAAGUGAAAAUCCGAGGCUCAACUCCGGACUUGCUUUCGAUACGGGCAGGCUAGAGGUAGGCAGGGGAGAAUGGAAUUCCUGGUGUAGCGGUGGAAUGCGCAGAUAUCAGGAGGAACACCGGUGGCGAAGGCGGUUCUCUGGGCCUUACCUGACGCUGAGGAGCGAAAGCGUGGGGAGCGAACAGGAUUAGAUACCCUGGUAGUCCACGCUGUAAACGUUGGGCGCUAGGUGUGGGAGUCUUUUGUGACGUCCGUGCCGUAGCUAACGCAUUAAGCGCCCCGCCUGGGGAGUACGGUCGCAAGACUAAAACUCAAAGGAAUUGACGGGGGCCCGCACAAGCGGCGGAGCAUGUUGCUUAAUUCGAGGCAACGCGAAGAACCUUACCUGGGUUUGACAUGUGGGUUAAUCCGGCAGAGAUGUCGGGUCCUUUUGGGAACUCAUGCAGGUGGUGCAUGGCUGUCGUCAGCUCGUGUCGUGAGAUGUUGGGUUAAGUCCCGCAACGAGCGCAACCCUCGUCCUAUGUUGCCAGCACGUUAUGGUGGGGACUCAUAGGAGACUGCCGGGGUCAACUCGGAGGAAGGUGGGGAUGAUGUCAAGUCUUCAUGCCCCUUAUGUCCAGGGCUGCAAACAUGCUACAAUGGUCGGUACAAUGGGCUGCGAGACCGUGAGGUGGAGCGAAUCCCUAAAAGCCGGCCUCAGUUCGGAUCGGGGUCUGCAACUCGACCCCGUGAAGUUGGAGUCGCUAGUAAUCGCGGAUCAGCAACGCCGCGGUGAAUACGUUCCCGGGCCUUGCACACACCGCC